Molecule: long non-coding RNA, 1197 nt
Organism: Stomoxys calcitrans (stable fly)
Lineage: Eukaryota; Metazoa; Arthropoda; Insecta; Diptera; Muscidae
Exons: 3
Source: RefSeq, a predicted model, not a curated record
GAUGUUUUGCUAAGGUCAGCUGUUUUAUGAAAAUCAGCAGUUACAUGAAAAUAAAAAGCCAACGGCACAAUGGAUCAAAAAGGCAGAGAUUCAUGGCAGCAGCUAGUGUUCAUUUACAGAAAACUCCACAAAUGAAGUUAAUUUUACCUCAAGUCGGUUGUUCUACAUUAGAAGACUCCAAGAAAAGAGCAAUUAUCGGUUUGUUAAGUGUUUUGAUGGAGUCUUCCUCAUCGGAGAGUUACGAUGAAACCAACACCUUUCCUUUGAAUUUGUUAAGGAGGGAAGAUGCUGCCAGGGGAUUGAGUGGGUAUAGCUGGGCAGUUAAACAAGUGACGCAGAGUGGGAUUCGAAAAAAUUAGUGCAAAUUAGUCUGCCAAUGUGAACAGAUACAGAUAUCUUCAAUGAUAACAAAGUGUCUGUAGCCGCCACAUGACCAAAUAGAGAGCUCCCUUAGCCUCACAUCAGUAGUCGUAGCAAUUUAUUUAGCCGCAGUAUCCAAAAGCAUUAUAUGGUUAGUCCAAGGUACCUUUGUCAGCAACAGCAAGUGUACUUUUGUACACGGUGAUGGCAUGUAAAUCAGUUGUAGUCCGAUGCAGCCUUCGAAAUGCAUGCUGAUGCUCGGCGAAUGAAAAUUGUCCAACGAGUGGAGCGGGAGGAAUAGUCCCUCAUGCGUCUUGGAUACUGAUGAAAGAAUUGAGAUCGGUCUGUACGACUCCCCCUUACUCGUUUCUUUUUCAGGUCUCAGUAGCGAGAUCAGACUGCCCAUCUUCCAAACAUCGAGUAGUAUGAAAGUAUUCAGAUAGGCUGAGGACAGUUGUGAGGUAAUCGACUCCAGGUAGAUCCAGAUUCUUCGGCAUCUGUGUAGAGAUUCUGUCUGGAACCAGCGCUUUGAACGACUUGGCGCCACAGAUGAGAUUCGUAGCUUCGUGCGCGGUUGUUGUUGUUGUUGUAGCAGUGUGUUGUACACUGAAAGACUCCUUCGGGCCAAUGAUAGACACCAUCGGGCCAAUGCGGUAAUUUGUGAUGGCUGUCCAGCCGCACGGAUCUCACGGGUACACAAAUGGUUCCCCAUCUAGCCUUUUCACUCUCCGGUCAAUAAACUAACGUUUAACUAAGAAAAAAACCUCACAUGUAUCGCCAGCAUUUUUUAUUUUAAAAAAUUGUUUUCCAAGCAAGCAAAUAAAAAACCAACCAAAA